AAAAAAAACAGCAGAAGGAAUCUAUUUAUAACAACUAAAAUUUUGUAUUAUUCAUGUAGUUCAAUACAAAUGAAAGAGAAACCAUAAACAUAUUGAAGGGAACAACAUGAAACUCAAAACUUUCAACACCUGUGUCCAUUGAAACCUUGGUGUGUAUUUUUGGCACAGAAAAAUAAGCUUAAUUUGAUGCUGGAGGAACUAUGGAUAAUGAUUUGUGAUCCAAAACACCUCUUGACUAUCAAAAAAUUCUACAUCCCUUCAAAAUGAUGAUCCAUAUCUCUCCAACAAUUUGACAAACUGUCUCAUAAGCACCAUUCUCUGGCAUUUUGGAACAUCUUUAACCAUGGGCUAGGACCUUUUUUGUCCACAUUCCAGUUCAAGGGGUACCAUGGGAAUUGCCACAUCAAGAAGCAACGUUCUGGAUGAGGCAUCAUGGCAAGAUGCCUCCCAUCAGGAGAACAAAUUGCUGCUACUCCUAAGGGAGAGCCAUUCACAUUGAAAGGGUAAGCUUCUGUAGGAUUCCCAUCAUCAUCGCAGUAUCUAACUGGGGCCAAGUUUGAAUGAAUCACACGAUCAAGAACACCAUCAUCAGGGAAAUAUGCUCUUCCCUCGCCAUGGGCAGCCCACACCCCUAAUGUACUACCUUCCAUCCCUUUGAACAUUAUAGCAGGCGAAUCCUUUAUUGUCACACUUGUAAAGCGGCAUUCAAAUCGACCAGAUUCAUUGUGAAUGAACCUUGGUUGUGAUGGGUCACCUCCAGCACCAAGCACACCCCCAACCUGGGGGCCUGGGACCCAACCCAGUAGAGCCAUGAGCUGACAGCCAUUGCAAACACCAAGACUGAAAGUGUCAGGCCGCUUGUAGAACUCCUGAAAUUGAUUUAGAAGGGGUUGAUUGAAUCGUAUGGAAGCAGACCAACCUUUUGCAGAAUCAAGGACAUCAGCAUAACUAAAACCCCCCACAAACACAAUCCCAUGGAAUUCAUGAAGAGAGAUAGCUCCAUUCAAGAGGUCUGACAUUGUAACAUCCCAGGGUUCAAAACCAGCAGCAUAAAGUGCUGCAGCCAUCUCUCUGUCUCCAUUGCUGCCUUCCUCUCGAAUCACAGCCACUUUUGGUUUCAAAGUUGCAGUCAUAUAUUUCUCAUCAGUAAAGGAAGGAAUAAAAGAUAGCUUCCAGUAAGGUUCAUGCCUAGACUUCAAACCUUCGUUCUCCAUGUCCACACAAGAAGCCAGUCUUUGGAACUUUUCCAGAUGAAAACUAGUUUCUUCCCACACAUCUCUAAGGAGAGAAGUCUUCUCAUUCAAAUGAGUUACCGAAUCAACUUUCAGUUCUAUCACUGGUGAGGCAGUCACUUGUCCAAUAAUAUCAGCAGAAACUCCUACACUAGUGAGCUUUUGCAUUACAGUAUCCAAGUUCUUUGUGCUAAUCUCAACAACAAGACCAAGCUCUUCAGCAAAGAGUGUCUGGAAGAGACCAUUCCCUUGUGAAGUUAAGUCCAAAGCAAUACCACAAUUCCCAGCAAAUGCCAUCUCCAUGGCACAGACAAGUAGUCCACCAUCACUAAUAUCAUGUCCAGAAGAGAUGAGUUCAUCUGCAAUAAGAUCCUGGAUACACUCAAAAACUCUUUUGAGGUAAGGAACAUCCUCAAGAUCAGGACAGUCAUCCCCAACUUGGUCAAAAGCUUGAGCAAGAGCAGAGGCACCUAACCGCCGCUUUCCUUUUGCCAUAUCAAUGUGAAGCAACAAACCAUCAUCUCCCAAUUUCAAAUCUGGAGUAACUGUUUUUGUGAUGUCAGGACAAGUGACAUACACACUUAUAACAAGAUUACCCGGAGCCUUAACAACCUCACCAGCUGCAUGGGCUGCCAUUGACAGACUAUCCUUUCCCCCAUCAAUUGCAAUACCAAGUUCAAUCAUAGCUUCAGAUAGAGCUUUUGCAGCAUCAUACAUGUCUGCCCCCUCCCCAUCAAGCUUGGCAGCAUACAUCCAAUUCCCACUUGCUUUAACAUCAGAAAGAGAAGUAACCUUAGCCCAAACUAGAUUUGUGAGUGCUUCUCCAACAGCUAAUCUAGCCAUUGCCUUUGGAUUAACCAGACCUUUGAUUGGCUGCUCUCCAAUUGCACAUGCACCUCCAGUCAAGUCAGUGUAAGUCUGAGCAAUGACAGCAACAUCAGCAAGAGUAAUCUGCAAAGGACCAACAGUUUGCUGCUGUGCCACAAGACCUGUAACACAUCUAUCCACUUUUGUUGUCAAGAAGCGUUUUGAACACACAGAAGGAAGUCUUAAUACCCUCUUCAAAGCCUCCAUCACAGUGAUCCCUGGGGCAAUAUCAAGUGGCUCUCGUGCAUGAACCACGUGGUGAAACUCAAAGGUCUUCUGAGGCAUGUCCCCGAGUACUUGCUCCAGCUCAAGAUCCACAGCAGGAGGAGGAGUAGGGUGUCCACUUGAAUGGCACUUCUCAUUAGCUAAGCUAUCAACCAAAACAACCCUCACCAUGGAUCGUCCCAAUAACAGCCAUUGACACCCUUUCUCUUUCACAGAUUGAUUGUAAAAGAUCGCGGCUCUCAGGCUUUACCAAGAUUGCAUCUUGUUCCUGAUAUUCUGCGCCCCAUAUCUCCAAAACAGACAUCGUAUGAUCACCAACAACAAUUGCCCGGAUGUCAAUCACAGCGCCCUUUGGAUAUAUAAUCUCCUUGACAACAUUACAGUUACCACCUGCUCCCUGAUCAUGGAUGCUGAUAAUUGGAUUAUUCUCCCCCAUUUCAAUGCAGGCACGAACAACUCGAUAGAGUUUUUGAGCCAUCUCAGCAUCUCCACGUUGUACAGCAUUAAAAUCAAGCUCUGCAUCAUUCUGGCCACUCACCAUACUUGAUGCGGCCCCACCUCCCAUUCCAAUACGAUAUGCA
This 2905-nucleotide unclassified non-coding RNA is filed under the name Hevea brasiliensis (rubber tree). Lineage: Eukaryota; Viridiplantae; Streptophyta; Magnoliopsida; Malpighiales; Euphorbiaceae. The record is from RNAcentral.